CAACCCUCGAGCUCCCCUUGGGGAGCCCGGCGUUGGGGAGCGGCAGCACCGCCGGCCCUGAAAUACAGUGGCGGCCCGUCCGCGGCGACCUCUGCGUAGUACAUCACCUCGCACUGGAGACCCGACGCGGCCACGCCGUAAAACACCCAACUUUCUGAA
Molecule: unclassified non-coding RNA, 159 nt
Filed under: uncultured Cordyceps
Lineage: Eukaryota; Fungi; Ascomycota; Sordariomycetes; Hypocreales; Cordycipitaceae
Description: sequence contains ITS2
Source: RNAcentral